Molecule: ribosomal RNA, 429 nt
Filed under: Pseudomonadota bacterium
Lineage: Bacteria; Pseudomonadati; Pseudomonadota
Description: Proteobacteria bacterium partial 16S ribosomal RNA
Rfam family: Bacterial small subunit ribosomal RNA
Source: RNAcentral
UGGGGAAUAUUGGACAAUGGGCGAAAGCCUGAUCCAGCCAUGCCGCGUGUGUGAAGAAGGUCUUCGGAUUGUAAAGCACUUUAAGUUGGGAGGAAGGGCAGUAAGCGAAUACCUUGCUGUUUUGACGUUACCGACAGAAUAAGCACCGGCUAACUCUGUGCCAGCAGCCGCGGUAAUACAGAGGGUGCAAGCGUUAAUCGGAAUUACUGGGCGUAAAGCGCACGUAGGUGGUUCGUUAAGUUGAAUGUGAAAGCCCCGGGCUCAACCUGGGAACUGCAUCCAAAACUGGCGAGCUAGAGUAGGGCAGAGGGUGGUGGAAUUUCCUGUGUAGCGGUGAAAUGCGUAGAUAUAGGAAGGAACACCAGUGGCGAAGGCGACCACCUUGGCUCAUACUGACACUGAGGUGCGAAAGCGUGGGGUGCAAACAGG